This 253-nucleotide ribosomal RNA is filed under the name uncultured bacterium. Its description in RNAcentral is "partial 16S ribosomal RNA". It matches the Rfam family "Bacterial small subunit ribosomal RNA", at positions 524 to 776 of the family's 1533-position model. The record is from RNAcentral.
UACGUAGGGACCAAGCGUUGUCCGGAAUUAUUGGGCGUAAAGAGCUCGUAGGCGGUUUGUCGCGUCUGCCGUGAAAGUCCGGGGCUCAACUCCGGAUCUGCGGUGGGUACGGGCAGACUAGAGUGAUGUAGGGGAGACUGGAAUUCCUGGUGUAGCGGUGAAAUGCGUAGAUAUCUGGAGGAACACCGGUGGCGAAGGCGGCACCCUGGGCCGGCAUUGACGCUGAGGCGCGAAAGCUAGGGGAGCAAACGGG